GUCGGUGGUUGUUAGCGUGAGGGAAACGCCCGGUCCCAUUCCGAACCCGGAAGCUAAGCCUUGCUGCGCCGAUGGUACUGCACCUGGGAGGGUGUGGGAGAGUAGGUCACUGCCGGCC
RNAcentral lists this ribosomal RNA (118 nucleotides) under Corynebacterium hindlerae. RNAcentral also lists the same sequence under 2 other names. The record is from RNAcentral. Lineage: Bacteria; Bacillati; Actinomycetota; Actinomycetes; Mycobacteriales; Corynebacteriaceae.